AGUGCAACAGAAACAUACCGCCGAAGGGUUAAGACCCUGGUAAGGUUGAAAUGGUGAGGUAAGAGCUCACCGGCAAUAUGGUAACAUAUUGGCCGUGUAAACCCCACUCGGAGCAAGACCAAAUAGGGCGCAAAAGGUGGCUGCCCGUCACUGCCCAAUAGGUAGGUCGCAUGAGCUUGCUGGCGACAGCAAGCCUAGAUAGAUGAUUGUCAAAUACAGAACCCGGCUUACAGGCCUGCUCAAUCC
This 246-nucleotide RNase P RNA is filed under the name Peptostreptococcaceae bacterium. RNAcentral's name for it is "partial RNase P RNA component class A". It matches the Rfam family "Bacterial RNase P class A", at positions 108 to 367 of the family's 367-position model. From Rfam's summary of the family: Ribonuclease P (RNase P) is a ubiquitous endoribonuclease, found in archaea, bacteria and eukarya as well as chloroplasts and mitochondria. Its best characterised activity is the generation of mature 5'-ends of tRNAs by cleaving the 5'-leader elements of precursor-tRNAs. The record is from RNAcentral. Lineage: Bacteria; Bacillati; Bacillota; Clostridia; Peptostreptococcales; Peptostreptococcaceae.